Molecule: ribosomal RNA, 301 nt
Filed under: uncultured bacterium
Lineage: Bacteria
Description: partial 16S ribosomal RNA
Rfam family: Bacterial small subunit ribosomal RNA
Source: RNAcentral
CAGUCGCCGCGGGAAUACGUAGGGUGCAAGCGUUAAUCGGAAUUACUGGGCGUAAAGCGUGCGCAGGCGGUUCCAUAAGACAGAUGUGAAAUCCCCGGGCUCAACCUGGGAACUGCAUUUGUGACUGUAGAGCUGGAGUGCGGCAGAGGGGGAUGGAAUUCCGCGUGUAGCAGUGAAGUGCGUAGAUAUGCGGAGGAACACCGAUGGCGAAGGCAAUCCCCUGGGCCUGCACUGACGCCCAUGCACGAAAGCGUGGGGAGCAAACAGGAUUAGAUACCCGAGUAGUCCCUGUCUCUUAUAA